This is a long non-coding RNA of Oreochromis aureus, 2690 nucleotides long. The record is from Ensembl. NCBI's taxonomy places the organism in Eukaryota, Metazoa, Chordata, Actinopteri, Cichliformes, Cichlidae.
CUGGGCAUGCAUCCACUUUUGAGGGAACUGUGACAUGUGUGACAGAUAUACUCCUUUUUUCUCUCAACAGGAAAGCUGCAGUGAUCAUGACAUGCUUCAUCACACACAUGAACAAAUUUACCAGUUAGACACUGUUGAGCUACAGUUUGGUGUUUUGAGUAAUUUUCUCUUUUGCAGAUUUUCACCUGAUUAGGAAAAGAAGCUUUUAGACAAACAGUACAAACAUAAGAUGGUGCUGACUUAAUGUUGGAUCUGAAACGAGAUAUGGCCUCAUUCAUUAAAGUGUUAUCUGGAUGACACUGUAAACUCUCAGCUGGUCGAUGCAUCUGGCGAUAUUUUCGUUUUAUGUUCAUUGCACAUCUGACAUUAUGCAUCUGUCUAAAAGAAAAACUGUUCCAAUAUUUUACUCUCAUUCGUUCUCUCAUAUUGUCCUUGUGUUGUUGUUGAAAUUGUUUCUCUUCUCCAUACCGCUUAGUCAUGUAAGAUCGUUUUUUCUUUUUAAAUUCUUCGCUUUCUUUAUAUAGGUUAUAUACAUAUGACCUCAUGUAAGCUUUAUGUUUUUCUCUGAAUCCAGCACAAGUUCUGUAUAUUCGUCUUAUACGCUCUUUCUGCUUAUCUCUGAAUAUCGGAGACUCUCUAUAUGUUCUUGUUACACGUUCCUUCUGCUUAUCUCUGAAUAUGGAAGACUCUCUAUAUUUUCUUGUUAUACGUUCCUUCUGCUUAUCUCUGAAUAUCGGAGACUCUCUAUAUGUUCUUGUUACACGUUCCUUCUGCUUAUCUCUGAAUAUGGGAGACUCUCUAUAUGUUCUUGUUACACGUUCCUUCUGCUUAUCUCUGAAUAUGGGAGACUCUCUAUAUGUUCUUGUUACACGUUCCUUUUGCUUAUCUCUGAAUAUGGGAGACUCUCUAUAUGUUCUUGUUACACGUUCCUUCUGCUUAUCUCUGAAUAUGGGAGACUCUCUAUAUGUUCUUGUUACACGUUCCUUCUGCUUAUCUCUGAAUAUGGGAGACUCUCUAUAUGUUCUUGUUAUACGUUCCUUCUGCUUAUCUCUGAAUAUGGAAGACUCUCUAUAUGUUCUUGUUAUACGUUCCUUCUGCUUAUCUCUGAAUAGGGGAUUGUCUUUAUAUGUCCUUAUGACACGUUCUCUUUUUCUGUCUCUAAUUUUAGCACUUUCUCUAUACAUCUUUCUCAAAUGUUCUUUCUUUUUCUCCUUAUAGGUAGCAUUUAAUUUAUACAGUUCAUUUCUGUACAGAAUCCUUUUCUGUCUGUGAUCAGGAUCAUUAGACUUCCUAGCUGAGUUUUUUUUCUUUGUCUUGAAGCUUUCAUCAAACCUGUACAUCUGCCUUUCUUUUGUCUUCUGAUUUUCCUUUCUCUGUGGUACUUUUUCUUGGGCUAAUAAUUUUCUCCUCAUUUUUUGCCUUUCCUGUUUAUUACGUUUCAGCAGUUUAUCUGAGAGUUCCUCUGUUAUCUUAGUUGAACUGGAGGCAGUGUUUGAAUCAUUCUGAGGAACAGAAUCUGGUGUUACUGGAGUUUCUCUCACAGAAGAUGCAGAGGUUUUCUUUUCAAAAUAAUCAGAAGGUUGUUUUUUUUCUGGAGCAGCUGUCUCAUUUGAAGAAUCAGCUCUGGAUGACAUUACUUCACUGGUUAAAUCUUUGGUCACAGGUUUCCGUGUCUGCUCAGUGUAUAUUUCGGAGUUUGAUUCAUGAACACAUUCACUUAAAGCUGGUGCUGGUGCACUUGUAGCUGUUUGUCUGUAUUCGGUGGUCUGAUUAGCAUCGCUUUGGUCAGCAGCGUUUUCACUGUGAAACUCGAUGGGCUGUAGCUCAUAAGUGCAGCUUGGUGCGAUGCUAAACAUUCGGUACAAACGUUUGAUCCUGUCAAUCAUGUCAUUAAGACGUGUGAACUUCAACAUAACUGCAGUUCCACCACUUACACUUAUGGACAAUGGCAUACCAGUAGACUUACGUGGGUGAGGGUCAAAAUAUGCAUAUUCACCUGAAGUCAGCCUGCAAACGGCGAUGACUGUUCCUCCCAUGACUAGCAAAGCAUAGCAAAACUCUGAAGCCAAACAUUGUAGUCCUUGUUCAAGGCUCGGAAGAUGAUCUGUACCAUCAAAUGUGCCGUAACGAGCAAACUGAGACAUGUCAACUUGAUACUCACGUCUGCGGCUGGUGACCACUGAGGGAAGCUCAUCACAGGCUAGAAACACGCUGUUCACAAACCUCUUUCUGGCAUCUGAAUACACUGCAUGGCCUUUGUCCAACACACGGUUAAGAUCUGCUCUGGUAAUGAACUCAUCCUCGUGUAAGAAUGACAGGAAAACCAAACUGUUAGCCAUACAUUGCUGAUUACGGUACUUUCCAUACCUAGGAGAAGCCUGGCUUCGGGCUGCACAGAUGCUACUCACUCGUGGACGACUUUCACUGUUUGUAACCUGUACAUGGGACUGUACUGGAACUUGUCCAUCAUGCUGUGUUUGUACAGUUAGCUGGGGUUCAGUCUGGAUUACCUGCAUAACUUCAGGAUCUGGGACAGACACUGAGGGAACACCUCUCUUUACAACAUCUGCAUAAGAUACUGUGGCUGUCUCUCCAUCAUGCUGUGUUUGUACAGUUACCUGGGGUUCAGUCUGGAUUAGCUGCAUAACUUCAGGCUCUGGGACAGACACUGAGGGAACACCUCUCUUUAC